UCAGGCACCGCCUAAAUUUCUUUCCCACGUUCUCCAUCUUCCUUCCUUUGCCCUACCACGACUUCCACAGUUAAGAUCGAGUUCCCAAUCGAAUUCAAUUCAGUCCAACUUGACUCAAACCGAAAUUUCCCUAAUCCAAAAUUACAGAGUUCACUUCAAUCCAAAUCCAUAGCUUUUCGUACUUUCAAUUCUUCUCCGGCGAACGUUUCUGGGCGGCAACGUAUUUCUGGCGGACAUAUUUCCCGGCUGUGUGUGGUUGAAUUAUCAAUUAUAAUAAACUGUGUUUAUUAUUGGUUGAAGUUGUGGUUCCUCAAAUGCUCGGGUUAACCAGAGUGCAAAAUCAGUCGAGAAGCGGUAGAUCUUUGCCUGUUGCAGACAUGGAUUUUGCUGAUCCAAAGUGGAAGGGUAAUGUCAUAGGUAAAAUCGUCUUAGCUGCUGGGUUAAUUGCAUUUUGCCUUAUUAUGAUCUAGCAGUCGCCAACUUUCAACAGCCCGAUCCAAGUAUGUUUACUACCAUAACCUUUCAUUUAUAUCUCGCUAUUAGAGGCUUUGUUUACUCCAGUUUACUUCUUAGCUCAAAUCUUAUUAUAUCUCUUAUGGUACCUCAUGAUUGGUAAAGCAUGUUGCUCCGUCACUUCUCAGUUGGUUUUAAUGAUUACGUGUCUGCUGAUGAUUAUGUAAUGAGGUGACAAUAAUAGGAUGGAAGGGAUUUUACUUUCACACCUGACAAUUAGAGGAUUCUAAGAACUGAACUUGGAAACUAAAAGUUGUUGCUUUUCAUAUCAGGCCUGAUCACUAGGUUUGAAUUUUGUUGCAUCUGACUUUGGAAACAUUGGGUAAUAGAGGGUAUGUUACAAAAGUUAUGCUUUUAUCUAGAAGCAUAUGUUUCCCUGUUCUUGUCUGCAUAAUUCUUUGUACUUCGUACCUGCAGAGGUUUAGUUUUCAUCUUUUGUGGGUUUUUCAGAUUUUGUCUGCCCUCCUUUUUGCUGAUAUUAUGCAUGCAGUUUAGAACUGUAUGUUUUCCUACAUGUUUGCAGCUUUAUCCGCCUUUACCUUGUCUGGCUUUGUGUAUCUCCCUCUAGCCUCUUUUUUUUCUAUAACUAUUGUUUCCAUUGGUAACGUUUAAUAAGACAUUUCAAUAAGCAUUUGUGCUACAGAACACUGAAGUCCUCCUUGGAAAACAAGUGGACAUUUAAUUACUUCAUAGUUGAUAGGAUAAUUGACAUGCUUUUCCACAUAAAAGAUGUGCCAUUGGCAAAGAGUUAUUCUUCUCUUGAAGUUAAAAGAAGAUUUCACGUCUUAAGAUGUUGGAAGUCAAAGUAUCUGCUUUAUAUAUGCUUGAGCAUGGUGUUCAACUAUUUACCAUGGCUUCAUCUAUGUGUUACUUUUCUUUACUUAGUUGGCCAUGUGGGAGUCUCUGGGAUCUUCUUCAUGGUAAUUUAUUCUCUGAAUGACAAGCUUUAACUAGAUAUCUGUCACGUCUCAUUUUUUCUAUAACAAGCUCCGUGUGACAAGUUUCUACUUUGUGUGUAUUAUUAGUUAGUAUUGUUAUGAGUGGCUAGAGAGUUCCACUAAAAACUUGUGUUUCCCACUUUAUGAGUUUUUUUGCUACAACUUUCUCCUUUUUCGUUUCCUCUAUGCUAGUCUGACAGUGAUUUUCUCCAUCAUUUUGCACUAGACUCUGGCUAUGAUUUUUUUGUUAUUGAUUUGGAACACGGUUAUGGUGGGAUAUCCGAGGCUCUGUCUUGCCUCAACACCCUCGUUGCUUCUCAAACUCCGGCUAUUCUCCGAUUGCCUGAGUGCUCUGCUGUGUGGGCUAAGAAGGCCCUGGAUUUGGG
This is a long non-coding RNA of Spinacia oleracea (spinach), 1837 nucleotides long. RefSeq lists it as uncharacterized. Lineage: Eukaryota; Viridiplantae; Streptophyta; Magnoliopsida; Caryophyllales; Amaranthaceae. The transcript has 3 exons. The record is from RefSeq and is a predicted model, not a curated record.